This 252-nucleotide ribosomal RNA is filed under the name uncultured bacterium. RNAcentral's name for it is "partial 16S ribosomal RNA". It matches the Rfam family "Bacterial small subunit ribosomal RNA", at positions 524 to 776 of the family's 1533-position model. The record is from RNAcentral.
UACGUAGGGUGCAAGCGUUGUCCGGAAUUAUUGGGCGUAAAGAGCUUGUAGGCGGUUUGUCGCGUCUGCUGUGAAAUUUCGGGGCUCAACCCCGAACUUGCAGUGGGUACGGGCAGACUAGAGUGUGGUAGGGGAGACUGGAAUUCCUGGUGUAGCGGUGAAUGCGCAGAUAUCAGGAGGAACACCGAUGGCGAAGGCAGGUCUCUGGGCCAUAACUGACGCUGAGAAGCGAAAGCAUGGGGAGCGAACAGG